This 484-nucleotide ribosomal RNA is filed under the name uncultured bacterium. Its description in RNAcentral is "partial 16S ribosomal RNA". It matches the Rfam family "Bacterial small subunit ribosomal RNA", at positions 29 to 507 of the family's 1533-position model. The record is from RNAcentral.
AUUGAACGCUGGCGGCAUGCCUUACACAUGCCAGUCGAACGGCAGCACGGGGGCAACCCUGGUGGCGAGUGGCGAACGGGUGAGUAAUACAUCGGAACGUGUCCUGUAGUGGGGGAUAGCCCGGCGAAAGCCGGAUUAAUACCGCAUACGCUCUACGGAGGAAAGGGGGGGAUCUUAGGACCUCCCGCUACAGGGGCGGCCGAUGGCAGAUUAGCUAGUUGGUGGGGUAAAGGCCUACCAAGGCGACGAUCUGUAGCUGGUCUGAGAGGACGACCAGCCACACUGGGACUGAGACACGGCCCAGACUCCUACGGGAGGCAGCAGUGGGGAAUUUUGGACAAUGGGGGCAACCCUGAUCCAGCAAUGCCGCGUGUGUGAAGAAGGCCUUCGGGUUGUAAAGCACUUUUGUCCGGAAAGAAAACGCCGUGGUUAAUACCCGUGGCGGAUGACGGUACCGGAAGAAUAAGCACCGGCUAACUACGUG